RNAcentral lists this ribosomal RNA (701 nucleotides) under uncultured Glomerales. RNAcentral's name for it is "LSU rRNA". It matches the Rfam family "Eukaryotic large subunit ribosomal RNA", at positions 38 to 633 of the family's 3401-position model. The record is from RNAcentral. Lineage: Eukaryota; Fungi; Glomeromycota; Glomeromycetes; Glomerales; Glomeraceae.
GCAUAUCAAUAAGCGGAGGAAAAGAAACUAACAAGGAUUCCCUUAGUAACGGCGAGUGAAGAGGGAAGAGCUCAAAUUUUAAAUCUAUCAUGUUUGUACAUGAUCGAGUUGUAAUUUGAAGAAGCGUUUUCUCGUACUUUAUGCAAUCAGUAUAAGUUCUCUUGGAACAGGACAUCAUAGAGGGUGAUAAUCCCGUCUGUUACUGGUUGUGAGGUUCGUUAUGAUACGCUUUCAAAGAGUCGAGUUGUUUGGGAUUGCAGCUCCAAAUGGGUGGUAAACAUCACCUAAGGCUAAAUAUUUGCGAGAGACCGAUAGCGAACAAGUACCGUGAGGGAAAGAUGAAAAGAACUUUGAAAAGAGAGUUAAAGAGUAUGUGAAAUUGUUGAAAGGGAAACGAUUGAAGUCAGUCGUGCAGUCAUCAAUUCAGCGGUUAACAUUUUAUGUUUCCGUGUAAUUUGGUGUCUGUUGGUUAGCAUCAAUUUUGAUUGUUAUAAAAAGGUUAAGGGGAUGUGGCUCCUUCGGGAGUGUUAUAACCCUUAGCGUAAUGUGACGAUUAGGAUUGAGGUUUGCAACGAAUACCUUUUAGGGCAGUUUCACCUGGCCUCUCGUGGAAUUAUAGAUAGUUAAGAGCAUGCUCCUACUGUUUAUGAUUCUACGAAAAGGUUGGAGUGUAAAACUAAUUCGUUAAGGAUGUUGACGUA